UACGUAGGUGGCAAGCGUUGUCCGGAUUUACUGGGCGUAAAGAGCGCGCAGGCGGUCGAGUAAGUCGAAUGUGAAAGCCCCCGGCUUAACUGGGGAGGGUCAUUCGAUACUGUUCGACUUGAAGGCAGGAGAGGGCAGCAGAAUUCCCGGUGUAGUGGUGAAAUGCGUAGAUAUCAGGAGGAACACCGAUGGCGAAGGCAGGUCUCUGGGCUGACACUGACGCUCAUGCACGAAAGCGUGGGGAGCAAACAGG
This 253-nucleotide ribosomal RNA is filed under the name uncultured bacterium. Its description in RNAcentral is "partial 16S ribosomal RNA". It matches the Rfam family "Bacterial small subunit ribosomal RNA", at positions 524 to 776 of the family's 1533-position model. The record is from RNAcentral.